GGCUGGUUAGCUCAGUUGGUUUGAGCACGGUGCUGAUAACACCAAGAUCAUGGGUUCGAUCCCCGUUCGGUCC
This 73-nucleotide transfer RNA is filed under the name Apaloderma vittatum (bar-tailed trogon). It matches the Rfam family "tRNA". Rfam says of the family: Transfer RNA (tRNA) molecules are approximately 80 nucleotides in length. Their secondary structure includes four short double-helical elements and three loops (D, anti-codon, and T loops). The record is from Rfam by way of RNAcentral. Lineage: Eukaryota; Metazoa; Chordata; Aves; Trogoniformes; Trogonidae.